Molecule: ribosomal RNA, 118 nt
Organism: Pteropus vampyrus (large flying fox)
Lineage: Eukaryota; Metazoa; Chordata; Mammalia; Chiroptera; Pteropodidae
Source: Ensembl
AAUGGGAGGCAUGCUACCCUGAAUGAGCCUGAUCCUGUCUGAUCUCAGAAGCUAAGCAGGGUCAUGCCUGGUUAAUACUGGAUGGGAGUCCACCUAAGAAGACCAGGUGCUGUAGUUG